This 414-nucleotide ribosomal RNA is filed under the name uncultured bacterium. Its description in RNAcentral is "bacterial SSU rRNA". It matches the Rfam family "Bacterial small subunit ribosomal RNA", at positions 60 to 465 of the family's 1533-position model. The record is from RNAcentral.
AGUCGAGGGGCAGCAUGAACUUAGCUUGCUAAGUUUGAUGGCGACCGGCGCACGGGUGAGUAACACGUAUCCAACCUGCCGAUGACUCGGGGAUAGCCUUUCGAAAGAAAGAUUAAUACCCGAUGGCAUAGUUCUUCCGCAUGGUAGAACUAUUAAAGAAUUUCGGUCAUCGAUGGGGAUGCGUUCCAUUAGGUUGUUGGCGGGGUAACGGCCCACCAAGCCUUCGAUGGAUAGGGGUUCUGAGAGGAAGGUCCCCCACAUUGGAACUGAGACACGGUCCAAACUCCUACGGGAGGCAGCAGUGAGGAAUAUUGGUCAAUGGACGAGAGUCUGAACCAGCCAAGUAGCGUGAAGGAUGACUGCCCUAUGGGUUGUAAACUUCUUUUAUACGGGAAUAAAGUGAGGCACGCGUGC